AGUAAAAAGUAGAAUAAUAGAUUUGAAAUAUUUAUUAUAUAGAUUUAAAGAGAUAAUCAUGGAGUAUAAAUUAUUAAAUAAGAUAAGAUUUAAUAAUAACUAUUAAUAGGAUUAGGUUACUAAUAAAUUAAUAAUAAUUAAUUUAAAAACCUAAAGGUAAACCUUUAUAUUAAUAAUAUAUAUAUUUAUAUUAUUAAUAAUAAUAAGAACUAAGUGAACUGAAACAUCUAAGUAACUUAAGGAAUAUAAAUCAACAGAGAUAUUAUGAGUAUUGGUGAGAGAAAAUAAUAAAGGUCUAAUAAGUAUUAUGUAAGAAGUAUGUAAGAAAAUAGGAUAACAAAUUCUAAGACUAAAUACUAUUAAUAAGUAUAAUAAGUACCGUAAGGGAAAGUAUGAAAAUGAUUAUUUUAUAAGCAAUCAUGGAUAUAAUUUUAAUAUUAAUGAUGUACCUUUUGUAUAAUGGGUCAGCAAGUAAUUAAUAUUAGUAAAACAAUAAAGUUAUAAAUAAAUAGAAAAAGUAUAUAUAUAAAAAAAUAUAUUAAAAUAUUUAAUUAAUAUUAAUUGACCCGAAAGCAAACGAUCUAACUAUGAUAAGAUGGGUAAACGAUCGAACAGGUUGAUGUUGCAAUAUCAUCUGAUUAAUUGUGGUUAGUAGUGAAAGACAAAUCUGGUUUGCAGAUAGCUGGUUUUCUAUGAAAUAUAUGUAAGUAUAGCCUUUAUAAAUAAUAAUUAUUAUAUAAUAUUAAAAUAAUAUUAUAUAAAGAAUGGUACAGCAAUUAAUAUAUAUUAGGGAACUAUAAAAGUUUUAUUAAUAAUAUUAAAUCUCGAAAUGUUUAAUUAUAUAUAAUAAAGAGUCAGAUUAUGUGCGAUAAGGUAAAUAAUCAAAAGGGAAACAGCCCAGAUUAAGAUAUAAAGUUCCUAAUAAAUAAUAAGUGAAAAAAAUAUUAAAAUAUUAUAAUAUAAUCAGUUAAUGGGUUUGACAAUAACCAUUUUUUAAUGAACAUGUAACAAUGCACUGAUUUAUAAAAAUAAAAUAAUAUUUAAAAUCAAAUAUAUAUAUAUAUUUUUGUUAAUAGAUAAUAUACGGAUCUUAAUAAUAAUAAGAAUUAUUUAAUUCCAAAAAUGGAAUAUCAUAUUAAAUUAAUAAAAAAUAUGAAUACUGAAUAUCUAAAUAUUAUUAUUAAUAAUAAAUAAUAAUAAUAAUAUGGUAAUAGAACAUUUAAUGAUAAUAUAUAUUAGUUAUUAAUUAAUAUAUUAAUUAAUUAAAUAGAGAAUGCUGACAUGAGUAACGAAAAAAAGGUAUAAACCUUUUCACCUAAAACAUAAGGUUUAACUAUAAAAGUACGGCCCCUAAUUAAAUAAAUAAGAAUAUAAAUAUAUUUAAGAUGGGAUAAUCUAUAUUAAUAAAAAUAAUCUUAAAAUAUAUAUAUUAUUAUUAUUAAUUUAUUAAUUAAUUAAUUAAUAAUAUAUAUAAUUAUAUUUAUAUAUUAUAUAUAUAUAUAAUAUAAACUAAUAAAGAUCAAGAAAAGUAUUAAUGUAUACCGUAAUGUAGACCGACUCAGGUAUGUAAGUAGAGAAUAUGAAGGUGUAUUAGAGAAUUAAAGGGAAGGAACUCGGCAAAGAUAGCUCAUAAGUUAGUCAAUAAAGAGUAAUAAGAACAAAGUUGUACAACUGUUUACUAAAAACACCGCACUUUGCAGAAACGAUAAGUUUAAGUAUAAGGUGUGAACUCUGCUCCAUGCUUAAUAUAUAAAUUAAAUUAUUUAACGAUAAUUUAAUUAAAUUUAGGUAAAUAGCAGCCUUAUUAUGAGGGUUAUAAUGUAGCGAAAUUCCUUGGCCUAUAAUUGAGGUCCCGCAUGAAUGACGUAAUGAUACAACAACUGUCUCCCCUUUAAACUAAGUGAAAUUGAAAUCGUAGUGAAGAUGCUAUGUACCUUCAGCAAGACGGAAAGACCCUAUGCAGCUUUACUGUAAUUAGAUAGAUCGAAUUAUUGUUUAUUAUAUUCAGCAUAUUAAGUAAUCCUAUAAUUUUAGGUAAUCGUUUAGAUAUUAAUGAGAUACUUAUUAUAAUAUAAUGAUAAUUCUAAUCUUAUAAAUAAUAAUUAAUUAAUUAAUUAAUUAAUUAAUUAUUAAUACUUAAUAGAUAUAAUUUCUUAAGUAAUAUAUAAUAUAUUAUAUUAUUAUAUGUAUUAUAUAUAUAUAUAUAAGAGACAAUCUCUAAUUGGUAGUUUUGAUGGGGCGUCAUUAUCAGCAAAAGUAUCUGAAUAAGUCCAUAAAUAAAUAUAUAAAAUUAUUGAAUAAGAAUAAUAUAUAUUAUAUAUAUUAAUUAUAAAUUGAAAUAUAUUUAUAUUUUUAAUGAAUAUAUUUUAGUAAUAGAUAAAAAUAUGUACAGUAAAAUUGUAAGGAAAACAAUAAUAACUUUCUAUUUAUUAAUUUAUAAAAAAAGUAUAGAAAGAAUUAGAUUAAUAUAAUGGUAUAACUGUGCGAUAAUUGUAACACAAACGAGUGAAACAAGUACGUAAGUAUGGCAUAAUGAACAAAUAACACUGAUUGUAAAGGUUAUUGAUAACGAAUAAAAGUUACGCUAGGGAUAAAAAUUACCCAUUUGUCCCAUUAUAUUGAAAAAUAUAAUUAUUCAAUUAAUUGAAGUAAAUUAAAUUGGGUGAAUUGCUUAAAUAUCCAUAUAAAUAAAUAAUAUGGACAAUAAGCAGCGAAGCUUAUAACAACUUAUAUAUAGUUAUAAGAACGUUCAACGACUAGAUGAUGAGUAAAGUUAACAAUAAUUCAUCCAUGAGUGCCCAAUAUCUAAUAAAUAUAAAUAUUAUAAUAGUUUUUUAUUUAUUUGAUAAUGAUAUAGUCUAAACAAUUUGGUAACAGAUUGAUAAAUAUGUAAUAAUAUUUAUAAAAUAAUUAAUAAAUUUUGAACAGGGUAAUAUAACGAAAGAGUAGAUAUUGUAAGUUAUGUUUGCCACCUCGAUGUCGACUCAACAUUUCCUCUUGGUUGUAAAAGCUAAGAAGGGUUUGACUGUUCGUCAAUUAAAAUGUUACGUGAGUUGGGUUAAAUACGAUGUGAAUCAGUAUGGUUCCUAUCUGCUGAAGGAAAUAUUAUCAAUUUAAAUCUCAUUAUUAGUACGCAAGGACCAUAAUGAAUCAACCCAUGGUGUAUCUAUUGAUAAUUUAAUAAUAUAUUUAUAAUAAAAAUUUUAUAAUAAAUAUAUUAUCUAUAUUAGUUUAUAUUUUUAUAUAAUUAUCAUAGUAGAUAAGCUAAGUUGAUAAUAAAUAAAUAUUGAAUACAUAUUAAAUAUGAAGUUGUUUUAAUAAGAUAAUUAAUCUGAUAAUUUUAUACUAAAAUUUAAUAAUUAUAGGUUUUAUAUAUUCUUUAUAUAUUAAUAAUAUUUUUUAUAAUAUUAAUAAAAUACUAAUUUAUCAGUUAUCUAUAUAAUAUCUAAUCUAUUAUUCUAUAUACU
RNAcentral lists this ribosomal RNA (3467 nucleotides) under Saccharomyces cerevisiae x Saccharomyces paradoxus. RNAcentral describes it as "large subunit ribosomal RNA". The stretch from base 184 to 1909 matches the Rfam family "Bacterial large subunit ribosomal RNA", at positions 15 to 2044 of the family's 2925-position model. The record is from RNAcentral. Lineage: Eukaryota; Fungi; Ascomycota; Saccharomycetes; Saccharomycetales; Saccharomycetaceae.